RNAcentral lists this long non-coding RNA (768 nucleotides) under Olea europaea subsp. europaea. The record is from RNAcentral. Lineage: Eukaryota; Viridiplantae; Streptophyta; Magnoliopsida; Lamiales; Oleaceae.
CGUCUAUCAUGCAAAUAAAUAUAUAUAUAACAUAAUAUAAUAGUGUGGACGAUAAUAGACUUUUACUAUCUAGUCUUCCCGAGCCAUAAGGAAGACUAGUUGGUCAAUUCCUAGAAAGUAUAGCAUUGAACAGUAUCAAUGCACCAUCUCCAUGGUCUCCUCCUCUUCUUGUCUCUUCAAUUAGUCCAAUUGCAACCUGUAUCCUAUACUUGUUGGCACGCAGGCCUAAAUGAAAUUGGACUCGCAGGCCCACAGCAAUAAUAAUAAUAAUAGACUCGCAGGUCCAAAAUGAUCAAGAGCUCGCAGGUCCAGAAUAAUAAUAAUAAUAACAGGCUCGUAGGCCUAAAACAAUUAAGAGCUCGCAGGCCCAGAAAACAACAAGACUAAAAAUUAACCAUUCAACAUAUCCAUAUGGUCGAGUCCAUAAUCGUCCACUAAUAAUACAUUCAUCACAUAAAUGUAUACCUAUAUAACAUCUAAGUUUCAAGUUUCUGGCAAUUAAGUCGUCUAAACUCUUUUAAACAAAAGGAUCGAAACAAUUAAAUAAUUAAUUAAUCAUAUUAACCAAUUAUUUAAUUAGCGAGCAUAUUUAAUUAAAAUCUAAUUUUAAUUAAAUACCAAAUUAGAGUCCAACUCUAAUUCAAUAAUUAUAUGACGGGAUUAUUUAAUUAAAAUCAAAUUUUAAUUAAAAAUCAAAUUAGAGCCAAACUCUAAUUUCACAAUUUAAGGCAGUGAAAUUUAAUUAAAAUCAAAUUUUAAUUAAAUUAC